UACAGAGGGUGCGAGCGUUGUCCGGAAUCACUGGGCGUAAAGGGCGCGUAGGCGGCGACCCAAGUCUGUGGUGAAAGCUCGACGCUCAACGUCGAGUCGGCCAUAGAUACUGGGUUGCUUGAGCACUGUAGAGGCAGAUGGAAUUCCGGGUGUAGCGGUGGAAUGCGUAGAGAUCCGGAAGAACACCGGUGGCGAAGGCGGUCUGCUGGGCAGUUGCUGACACUGAGGCGCGACAGCGUGGGGAGCAAACAGG
RNAcentral lists this ribosomal RNA (253 nucleotides) under uncultured bacterium. RNAcentral describes it as "partial 16S ribosomal RNA". It matches the Rfam family "Bacterial small subunit ribosomal RNA", at positions 524 to 776 of the family's 1533-position model. The record is from RNAcentral.